RNAcentral lists this Y RNA (114 nucleotides) under Propithecus coquereli (Coquerel's sifaka). RNAcentral describes it as "Y RNA (ENSPCOG00000005916.1)". It matches the Rfam family "Y RNA". From Rfam's summary of the family: Y RNAs are components of the Ro ribonucleoprotein particle (Ro RNP), in association with Ro60 and La proteins. The Y RNAs and Ro60 and La proteins are well conserved, but the function of the Ro RNP is not known. In humans the RNA component can be one of four small RNAs -- hY1, hY3, hY4 and hY5. The record is from Rfam by way of RNAcentral. Lineage: Eukaryota; Metazoa; Chordata; Mammalia; Primates; Indriidae.
GGCUGGUUCCAAGGUAGUGAGUUAUCUCACUAGAUUGUUCACAGUCAGUUACAGAUUGAACUCCUUGUUCUAAUACUUUCCUGCCUUCUUACUACUGCACUUGACCAGUCUUAA